CCCUCAGGGCCAGCCUGACUACAGGUAGACUAGACUACACUCACCCCUCAGGGCCAGCCUGACUACAGGUAGACUAGACUACACUCAUCCCUCAGGGCCAGCCUGACUACAGGUAGACUAGACUACACUCACCCCUCAGGGCCAGCCUGCCCAUCAGUUGUCAUGAUAAUCACUCAUUUCAACUUGAUCUAUUCAUCUCUUUCUGAUGAGCUGAUCAUAGAGAAGGAGACCAUCAUUCUGCAUUUCCUGCUGAGUAAACAUCAUUGCAAGUGGGCUCAAGGUAGUACCAGUACCGGAGGAGAAGUGUACCACUGAGGAUAUUAAAGAAGCCUUCAUGCUGCAGGCGCAGGAACAGAACAUGGAGCUGAUGGAGAUACCGCAACACACUGACCUCAAACAGAUUGCUCCUCCAGGGACACCGUACUUCUACGUAGAGCUGGACUCUGGAGAGAAACUCUUCUACCGCAUUCAGAAAAACUUCCCUCUGCAGUUUGGCAGGUAUAUACACACACACACACACACACCAUAUAUG
Molecule: long non-coding RNA, 532 nt
Organism: Oncorhynchus nerka (sockeye salmon)
Lineage: Eukaryota; Metazoa; Chordata; Actinopteri; Salmoniformes; Salmonidae
Exons: 3
Source: RefSeq, a predicted model, not a curated record